This 447-nucleotide ribosomal RNA is filed under the name uncultured bacterium. Its description in RNAcentral is "partial 16S ribosomal RNA". It matches the Rfam family "Bacterial small subunit ribosomal RNA", at positions 329 to 793 of the family's 1533-position model. The record is from RNAcentral.
AACCAGACUCCUACGGGAGGCAGCAGUGGGGAAUAUUGCACAAUGGGGGAAACCCCGAUGCAGCGACGCCGCGUGAAGGAUGAAGUAUUUCGGUAUGUAAACUUCUAUCAGCAGGGAAGAAAAUGACGGUACCUGACUAAGAAGCCCCGGCUAACUACGUGCCAGCAGCCGCGGUAAUACGUAGGGGGCAAGCGUUAUCCGGAUUUACUGGGUGUAAAGGGAGCGUAGACGGCGAUGCAAGUCUGAAGUGAAAGGCGGGGGCCCAACCCCCGGACUGCUUUGGAAACUGUAUAGCUGGAGUGCAGGAGAGGUAAGUGGAAUUCCUAGUGUAGCGGUGAAAUGCGUAGAUAUUAGGAGGAACACCAGUGGCGAAGGCGGCUUACUGGACUGUAACUGACGUUGAGGCUCGAAAGCGUGGGGAGCAAACAGGAUUAGAUACCCCGGUAA